CAUUGAAGUCCACAGACAUUCAACGCACGUAGCAUUUCGUAGCAACCCAGAGAUUAGUACCCUCGUAAAACCCUCGUCUCCAUCUUCCCCAAUUUCCAUCAAACCAACAACUGCACUGCUAAAAUGGCUUGGCGCUCAUCUGGAUCUCUAUCUCGCUCCCUCAUUUCCUCUGUUAGGGCUUCUUCUCUCCGGUCCGCUCCUUCUCUUCCUCGCCUCCGCCCGCCACCUCUCGCCGCUCGACCUCGCCCUCAAUCUCGUCGCCUUUCUUUUUCGACUUCGAGGAACUUGGGAGAACUGGGAUGCACACAGUCUCUUCUGCCCAUGCACAGCAUCAUGGGUGCUACCUGCUUGACAUCCCACCUAUGUGUUAGCGCACGAGCUUUUUGCGAGCUGUCUCAUGGUACCUUCUGCCGUACUUGUCAGGAUCGCUAGUAUCCUCUUUGAAGGAAUGGAAAAGAUGGGUGAUGCACGAGGACAUUCUAUCAUUCAAAAGCGGGAGACUGUCGCAGCACUUGUACUUGAGUGAUCUCCAGUAGAAGCACACAUGUGAGCAAUUCUAUGUGGGGGUGAAGUUGAGUAGAGAGAGAGAGAGAGUUUCUGGUAACUUUAUUAGGUAGAUAGAUGCAAUAAAACAAUUUCUAGCUGUUCCAGGAAUUAAUCCUUCGGUUUGCGUGUGGAUUCCCCAAAAUUAUCAAUUAUUAUCUGACCUGGUUUGUUUCUUCUGGGCCUGAAUUUUGUAACUAUACUUUCAUACCUGUUACUGGAUUUACAAUCACAAUAUGAAAUUUUUCUUUCCAUUA
Benincasa hispida (wax gourd) is the source of this 800-nucleotide RNA transcript. It is a transcript of the gene named caspase-6 protein, with no coding region annotated. The record is from RefSeq and is a predicted model, not a curated record. NCBI's taxonomy places the organism in Eukaryota, Viridiplantae, Streptophyta, Magnoliopsida, Cucurbitales, Cucurbitaceae.